RNAcentral lists this long non-coding RNA (1917 nucleotides) under Sus scrofa (pig). RNAcentral's name for it is "lncRNA (ENSSSCG00055027048.1)". The record is from RNAcentral. Lineage: Eukaryota; Metazoa; Chordata; Mammalia; Artiodactyla; Suidae.
AGGGUAGGAAAAGGAUCGGAGAACUGAAACUUACUGAGCGCCUGCUGUUCGGCAGAUUGUUCAUCUAAUUUUCACACGGCUGGGAGGAUGUAGCAUAUGAGCUCCGUUAUCUUGGACGUUCUGAGAAGGUGUUCACAUUCCUAGAUUCUAAAUUUAAGAAGCCCAUGGUGGCGAUAUUUGGUUCCAGGUUUUUCUGAUUCCAGUGCCCAUUGCCUCUCUUUCUGCCAUGGGCUUGUUCUACCCAGAGAUGGUCAGUCCUUGCCCCAAACACACAUGUGAGCACCCUCCCCCUGCCAUAUUCAUACCAGUUGUUAUCUUCUCCUUGAUGUUAGUGCUUUGGAAGAAUGAAGAGAAGAACCAAAAAGGUCUUUACAAGCCGAUUUGCUUCUACUAAGGAGAUUUCGCUGGUUCACAUUAUACCUUUUAGAAACUAACUAUACCAAACAAACUCUAUUUCCUUUUUUGAAAGAAAUCAGGAAAAUGAAAGAAAUACUCUCUUUUGUAACCAUCUGGCAUCUUAAAAAAUAGCGAAAGCAGGUAGCAGUAAUGUGCAUAUUUUGUUUCACAUAAAGACUCUAAAAAUAAUGUUGCAGAAUGUAAUCUGGUAUUUUUAAAGUUUUUGAAUGAAAUAUAAUUAUAGUUUAAAUGAGAGAAGGUGGAGUACAUCUGUAAACUAUCCAUUAUUUUCCUUUAUAUCUGUAAAAGUCUUAUGGGAAAUAUGUUUUUUUUUUCCCAAUCAAAAACUUUGUUUUUAAGUAAAAGAAGGCAUGACCUUUUUGUAGCUAGAAUUGAAACUGUGCUGAAUAGACUAUUUCUACAGCCCAUGUACCAGCUAAAACAGCACGCAGGUCUUAAACUGUGUAUAUCUCACUGUUGGCUCUGACCUCAGGGCCUAGUUUAUACACAGUUACUCUAUUUGCAAGGAUGUAUACUGGAAUUUAUCUGUUUUUAUACACCUGUCUCUCUUGCUGGCCUGAGAACUAUUUGCGAGCAAAAAGUUAUUCAUUUUUAGAUCCCUAGAACCUAGCAAGUACUACAUCCUUACUAAAUGUUUGAUUGACUCUAUUAUAAUUGGAUGACAUAUUCAUCCAUGUCGUCUUCCAAAAAGAGGUUUUUUGUUUUGUUUUGUUUUGUUUUUUUAACGGCCGCACCCGGGGCAUUUGUAAGUUCCCUGGCCAGGGAUUGAAUCUGAGCUACACUUGCUGCAACUCUGGAUCUUUUAACCUACAGUGCCAGGCUGGGGUUCAAACCCGCACCCCUGCAGCAACCUGAGCCGCUGCAGUUGGAUUCUUAACCCACUGCACCAUGGUGGGAACUCCUUGUUGGUUUUGACUAGAGGAGAUGCUCUCAGCUUGGGAACCAGCAUGGAGUAGGUGAACUUCCAAGAACCUCUGUCCCAUAUGAUUUAAUCCGUCAACCUGCCUCUGACACGUGAACUAGACUUAUUUUUUUCUUUAUUUUAUUGAGAUGUAAUUGGCAUAUAAUACUGUGUAAGGGUAAGGUGUACAGAAUGUUGAUUUGAUGCUUUUAUAUAUUGCAGCAGGAUUACCUCCACCUGGGCAUCCCCAAACACCUCUAUCAAAUAAUCACCUUUGACAAAUCAAAUAACCAUUUUACUUCCUCCUUGAUGUUGACAAAUUCUUGGGAGUUCCCGUCGUGGCGCAGUGGUUAACGAAUCCGACUAGGAACCAUGAGGUUGCGGGCUCGGUCCCUGCCCUUGCUCAGUGGGUUAACGAUCCGGUGUUGCCGUGAGCUUGGUGUAGGUUGCAGACGCGGCUCGGAUCCCGUGUUGCUGUGGCUCUGGCGUAGGCCGGUGGCUACAGCUCCAAUUCAACCCCUAGCCUGGGAACCUCCAUAUGCCGAGGGAGCGGCCCAAGAAAUAGCAACAACAACAACAACAACAACAAAAGACAAAAG